GGACAAAUGAUCGCGGCCCGUUUUACGGGGUGAGGAAAGUCCGGGCUUCACAGGGCAGGAUGCCGGCUAACGGCCGGUGGAGGCGACUCUAAGGAAAGUGCAACAGAAAUAUACCGCCUGUUCACACAGGUAAGGUUGGAAGGGCAGUGUAAGAGACUACCGCCGGUAUGGUAACAUAUCGGGCAAUGUAAACCCCAUCCGAAGCAAGGCUUAAACAGGAGCGCAGGGCGGCCCGCCUGCUCCGGGGUUAGCCGCUUGAGCCUGUUGGCAACAGCAGGUCUAGAUAGAUGAUCAUUCACGACAUAACCCGGCUUAUCGUUCUGCUGGU
Molecule: RNase P RNA, 328 nt
Filed under: pig gut metagenome
Description: Bacterial RNase P class A
Rfam family: Bacterial RNase P class A
About the family: Ribonuclease P (RNase P) is a ubiquitous endoribonuclease, found in archaea, bacteria and eukarya as well as chloroplasts and mitochondria. Its best characterised activity is the generation of mature 5'-ends of tRNAs by cleaving the 5'-leader elements of precursor-tRNAs. Cellular RNase Ps are ribonucleoproteins.
Source: RNAcentral